This 393-nucleotide ribosomal RNA is filed under the name uncultured bacterium. RNAcentral's name for it is "partial 16S ribosomal RNA". It matches the Rfam family "Bacterial small subunit ribosomal RNA", at positions 523 to 918 of the family's 1533-position model. The record is from RNAcentral.
AUACGGAAGGUCCGGGCGUUAUCCGGAUUUAUUGGGUUUAAAGGGAGCGCAGGCGGAGAUGCAAGCGUGACGUCAAAUUUCGGGGCUCAACCCCGUCUCGCGUCGCGAACUGCGUCCCUUGGUUGCGGGAAGGGGAGGCGGAACUCGUGGUGUAGCGGUGAAAUGCAUAGAUAUCACGAAGAACUCCGAGCGCGAAGGCAGCCUUCCGGCCCGUCAACGACGCUCAUGCUCGAAGGUGCGGGUAUCAAACGGGAUUAGAUACCCUGGUAGUCCGCACAGUAAACGAUGGACACCCGCGGUUUGGCCUGUAUGGCUGAGCCGCCAAGCGAAAGCUUUAAGUGUCCCACCUGGGGAGUACGCCGGCAACGGUGAAACUCAAAGGAAUUGACGGGG